This 253-nucleotide ribosomal RNA is filed under the name uncultured bacterium. RNAcentral describes it as "partial 16S ribosomal RNA". It matches the Rfam family "Bacterial small subunit ribosomal RNA", at positions 524 to 776 of the family's 1533-position model. The record is from RNAcentral.
UACGGAGGAUGCAAGCGUUAUCCGGAUUUAUUGGGCGUAAAGCGUCCGCAGGUGGUUUUCCAAGUCUGCUGUUAAAGCGCGAGGCUUAACCUCGUACAGGCAGUGGAAACUGGAUGACUGGAGUAUGGUAGGGGUAGCGGGAAUUCCCAGUGUAGCGGUGAAAUGCGUAGAUAUUGGGAAGAACAUCAGCGGCGAAAGCGCGCUACUGGGCCAUUACUGACACUCAUGGACGAAAGCUAGGGGAGCGAAAGGG